GUCGAACGCUUCUUUCCUCCCGAGUGCUUGCACUCAAUUGGAAAGAGGAGUGGCGGACGGGUGAGUAACACGUGGGUAACCUACCCAUCAGAGGGGGAUAACACUUGGAAACAGGUGCUAAUACCGCAUAACAGUUUAUGCCGCAUGGCAUAAGAGUGAAAGGCGCUUUCGGGUGUCGCUGAUGGAUGGACCCGCGGUGCAUUAGCUAGUUGGUGAGGUAACGGCUCACCAAGGCCACGAUGCAUAGCCGACCUGAGAGGGUGAUCGGCCACACUGGGACUGAGACACGGCCCAGACUCCUACGGGAGGCAGCAGUAGGGAAUCUUCGGCAAUGGACGAAAGUCUGACCGAGCAACGCCGCGUGAGUGAAGAAGGUUUUCGGAUCGUAAAACUCUGUUGUUAGAGAAGAACAAGGACGUUAGUAACUGAACGUCCCCUGACGGUAUCUAACCAGAAAGCCACGGCUAACUACGUGCCAGCAGCCGCGGUAAUACGUAGGUGGCAAGCGUUGUCCGGAUUUAUUGGGCGUAAAGCGAGCGCAGGCGGUUUCUUAAGUCUGAUGUGAAAGCCCCCGGCUCAACCGGGGAGGGUCAUUGGAAACUGGGAGACUUGAGUGCAGAAGAGGAGAGUGGAAUUCCAUGUGUAGCGGUGAAAUGCGUAGAUAUAUGGAGGAACACCAGUGGCGAAGGCGGCUCUCUGGUCUGUAACUGACGCUGAG
This 718-nucleotide ribosomal RNA is filed under the name Enterococcus sp. TATAC-35. RNAcentral's name for it is "bacterial SSU rRNA". It matches the Rfam family "Bacterial small subunit ribosomal RNA", at positions 61 to 750 of the family's 1533-position model. The record is from RNAcentral. Lineage: Bacteria; Bacillati; Bacillota; Bacilli; Lactobacillales; Enterococcaceae.